This 412-nucleotide unclassified non-coding RNA is filed under the name soil metagenome. RNAcentral describes it as "partial contains 5.8S ribosomal RNA, internal transcribed spacer 2, and large subunit ribosomal RNA". The stretch from base 1 to 121 matches the Rfam family "5.8S ribosomal RNA", at positions 35 to 154 of the family's 154-position model. The record is from RNAcentral.
GAUGAAGAACGUAGCGAAAUGCGAUAAGUAGUGUGAAUUGCAGAAGUACCGUGAAUCAUCGAAUCUUUGAACGCAAAUUGCACUCUCUGGUAUUCCGGGGAGUAUGCCUGUUUGAGGGUCGCUUAACAAACCAUCGAUUUCGUUGCUUUUUUUUUUUAAAAAAGUGAUGUUUAUCGGAUUUGAGCCGUCUUUUUUUUUAUAUUUAAGUUGCUUAAAAUUGAUUUUUUUGGUACGAUCGAAGCGUAUUUUUAUGAUCAAUUUUUGGUUAAAGAAACGCACACGUACCGUUAUUUAUAUGAUGUAAUACGUUUGACUAUUGGAUUUAGUUCAUUCGUAUACGAUAUUUUUCAAUAUUUGACCUCAAAUCAGGUAAGAACACCCGCUGAACUUAAGCAUAUCAAUAAGCGGAGGA